UACGGAGGGUGCGAGCGUUGUCCGGAAUCAUUGGGCGUAAAGGGCGCGUAGGUGGCCCGGUCAGUUCGUGGUGAAAGCGCGGGGCUCAACCCUGCGUCGGCCAUGAAUACUGCCGCGGCUGGAGCACUGUAGAGGCAGGCGGAAUUCCGGGUGUAGCGGUGGAAUGCGUAGAGAUCCGGAAGAACACCGGUGGCGAAGGCGGCCUGCUGGCAGUUGCUGGACACUGAGGCGCGACAGCGUGGGGAGCGAACGAGGAUGAUGAAACCCC
This 268-nucleotide ribosomal RNA is filed under the name uncultured bacterium. Its description in RNAcentral is "partial 16S ribosomal RNA". It matches the Rfam family "Bacterial small subunit ribosomal RNA", at positions 524 to 788 of the family's 1533-position model. The record is from RNAcentral.